Molecule: long non-coding RNA, 3599 nt
Organism: Phascolarctos cinereus (koala)
Lineage: Eukaryota; Metazoa; Chordata; Mammalia; Diprotodontia; Phascolarctidae
Source: Ensembl
CACACACACCCCCGCCAGGCCGGUAGCCUAGGGUCCCGCCGCCCCCGAGCGCUGGGGGCCAGCGCAGUCCCCGGGGCCGCAGCGCGCACGCCCAGGCCUGGCUGGAGGGCUCCGCCCCCACGUAGGGUCAGUGCGGGGACGAGGUCCUGGGACAGUCAUUGCCCUGGAAUGACUCCGCCGCCGUGGCGGGUGAUGGGCGGUGGGGGGAGUGGGGUCGCCAGGGACGGGGAGGGAGGGGGGAGAGAGGGAGGGCGCGUGCUGCCGAAGCCCCGCCCCGUCGCCAGAUGCGGGAGCAGCAGGUGGGAGCUGAUUGGCGGUCACCGAGGCGGAAUGAAUGGGGUGACCGCGGGAGCUUGGUGCGGCGCGGAAAUCUCGGUGGGACGAAGCUAUGAAAGCGCGCUUGGCUGUUUGACAUCAAGAAGGCCACUGAACUUAUAUGAUCGGUCAGUUCCUAUCUGUAAAGUGGUGAUAUACCCGCAGUACCUACCUCAAACAACACGCAUUUAUAAUUAAGCAUAAAACGACGAACUUGGAGUCUGGAAGAUCUGAAUUAAAAUCCCGCCUGAGGAACCCCCCACCCCUCCCCAACUGUGUGACCUUGGGCAAGUCGCUUAACCUUCCACCCUCAGCUUCCUCAUCUGUAAACUAAAGAAGUUCAGUAUGAAAGGCUUAUUAACCUUGUGUAGGUGUCAUGGACCCCUUUGAAAAUCUGAUGAAACCUAACCACUCUCAUAAAAUCAAGUACAUAGGAUUUCAAAAGAAAUCAAAUCUAUUCAAAUUCACUUAUGGUAAGGAGUCUUAUGCUAGGCCCUGGAGUUGAAAAGACAAGUAAGUCUUCACUCCCGAAGAGUUUUGCAUUUUCCUGGGAAGGAUAUGACACAUGCACGGGGUGUGAUUAUCUUUGUAUAUGGUGUGAACCGCUGAUUUAUACCUAGUUUAUGCCAUAAUAAUUUACAGUUUUAUGAAUAGUUUUGGCUAAACAGAGUACCCCAAUAGCUGGGAUCUUUGAGUUUAUCAAACAUUAGGUUUACUGUGCCCAUUUUCUUCUGUAUGUUGUGCGCCUAAUUCCACUGAUCAGUCCCUCCAGUACAAAAUUGUUUUAAUGAUUACAGCUUUGUUGUAUAAUCUGAGGUCUGGUAGUACUAGGCCCUCUUCCCAUUUUUUUUAAUUGAUAUUUUUGACCUUUUGUCCUGUAGAUGAAUUUUGUUAUUUGGUAGUUUGAUAGACACAGCAUUAGUAUAUUGUAUAGUAUAAUGUAAAGUAAAUACAAAGUAAAUACAAAGUAACAAUUCCAGAGGCACUAAGAAUUGGAAGUCAGGAAGGGUUUCAAUGGCAGACUCCUGGAACUGCCCUUAAGGAGUUCCAAGAGCUAGGGAUUCUAACCUCACCAGGUUAUCAUCAGGAUCAAAGAAGAUAAUUUAUGUAAAUCAAUUGACAGACUUAUACAAAUAUGAACUAUUAUUAGAGCCCUUCCUUGUUCUGAAAUUAGGAGUGUCCCAGAAAAUCACAAAUGAAUCAUUGCCAUAACCAGGGCCCCAAACUGUCAAUUACGAGAUGGGUCAACCUUCUUGAGAGUUUUUUAAAAUUCAGUUUUCAGUUCCAAAUUCUGCACACACACCCAAGCAUUGAGAAGGCUAAGAAGAACAAAAUCCAUUACAAAUAUGUAUAGUUAUGCAAAACAAAUUCUCAUAUUAGUCAUGUCCCAAAAAAGUGGGGGGAAAAGAAAAAAGAAAAUAUGCUUCAAUUUGUAUAGAGUCCAUCAGUGCUCUAUUUGGUUUUGGAUUUUUUGUUUUUGGCUAGGCAGUGGGGUUAAGUGACUUGCCCAGGGUCAAACAGGUAGUAAGUGUCAAGUAUCUGAGGUCAUAUUUGAACUCAGGUCCUCCUGACUCAAGGGCAGGUGCUCUGUGCACAGUGCCACCUACCUGCCCAUCAGUGCUCUAUUUGGAGGUAGAUAUCGUAAGUCCUUAAGAACUGUAGCUGGUCAUUAUGUUGAUCAGAGUAAGUCUUUCAAAAUUGAUUAUCUUUACAAUAUUGCUGUUGUAUAAAUUGUUCUCCUGAUUCUGUGCACUUCAUUUUACAUCUAUUCAUAUAAGUCUUCCCAGGUUUUUCAGAGGCAGCUAGGUAGAACAGUGGAGAGAGUACUGGGGCCCUUGAUUCAAGAAGGCCUAAGUUCAAAUGUGACAUCACGCACAAGCUGUGUGACUCUGGAUGAGUUAUUUAACCUUGGUUUGCUACAGUUUCCUCAACUGUAAAAUAGGGAUAAUAGCACCUACUUUGAUGUUUGUAAAGCUUUUUAAGCACAAUGCUUAGCACAAAGUAGACCAUAUAUAAAUGCUUAUUGGCUUCCUUCCCCCUUUCUGAAAUCAUCCCUUUCAUUAUUUCUUAAAGCAAACUAGUAUUCCAUCACAUACAUGUACCAUAAUGUAUUCAUCUAGUCCCCAACUGCCAGGCACCCCUCUUAGUUUGCCCAGGAAAAGAGAUGCUAUAAAUAUUUUUGUACAUAUGGGUCUUCUUUCUUUGAUCUCUUUGGGGCAUAGACCUAGUAGAGGUAUUGCUGGGUCAAACUGGGUGCACUGUUUAGUAAGGUUUUUAAGCCUAGUUAUACAUUGCUUCCCAGAAUGGUUGAACUAGUUCACAGUGCAUAAAUGUACUUGUUUUCCCAGUGUCCCCAGCAUUUGUCAUUUCCCUUUUGUUAUCUAAUUUGUUGUGAUAUCACCUAUUUAUAUCUAUAUCAUAUAACCAUUUUGAAUUUAUCUUUGUGUAUGGGGUGAGAUGUUAAUCUAUAGCCGGUUCUGCACCCCUGAUCUGUAUCUAGUUUCUGCCAGAAUAAUUUACAGUUUUCCCAAUAGUUUUAGUCACCUACUGAGUUUUUGCCUCAAAAAAGCUGGGAUCUUUGGGUUUAUCAAACAUUAGAUUAUUGUGCUCAUUUUCUUCUGUAUAUUGUAUGUAUUUCACCAAUCAAUCUCUCAAUUUCUUAUACAAUACUAAAUUGUUUUGCUGAUUAUAGCUUUGCAGUAUAGUUUGAGAUCUAGUACUGAUAGGCCCCCUUCCUUCCCUUUUUUUUUUCAGAUUCCCUUGAUAUUUUUGACCUUUUGUUCCUCUAGAUGAUUUUGCUAUUUUUCCUAGCUCUAUAAAAAUAAUUCUUUGGUUUGUCAUUUUUACAAUAUUGGCUCAGCCUACUCAUGAGCAAUCAAUAUUUAUGCAAUUAUUUAGAUCUUCCAUUAUUUGUAUGAAGAGUGUAAUUGUGUUCAUAUAGUUUCUAUGAUUGUCUUGGCAGGUAGACUCCCAAGUAUUUAUAAGGUUCAUAAUUAUUCUAAAUGGAAUUUCCCUUUUUCUAUCACUUUCUGCUGGAUUUUGUAGGUAUUAUGCACAAAUUCUGAUAAUUUGUGUAAUUUUAUUUUAUAUGCUGUAACUUUGCUGAUGUUAAUUGUUUUGGUUUUUCAGUUGAUUCUCUGGGGUUCUCUAAGCCAGGGGUAUCAAACAUGCAAUCCAAAGGCAGCAUGCUUCCCACAACAGUCCUGAGUGUGAUAUGAACCAGAUUAAAAUGUAAUUGGGGAAUAUUUAAUAAAAUAAACAGAUAAGAUAAUAAAAAGAUAAGG